RNAcentral lists this non-coding RNA (174 nucleotides) under marine eukaryotic metagenome. RNAcentral describes it as "6S / SsrS RNA". It matches the Rfam family "6S / SsrS RNA". From Rfam's summary of the family: E. coli 6S RNA was the first non coding RNA to be sequenced, but its function was unknown until recently. It consists of 184 nucleotides that fold into an extended hairpin structure with a large single-stranded internal bulge. The record is from RNAcentral.
ACUACUUUGUUGGUGAAAGCCUUUUCUAGUGCUCUGAUCUGACUCUCUUUCGACUUGGGGAGACUGUCGUGAAUGUAACGUAUACCGACCUUGUAGUCGGAAACGAAGCCUCACUUUGAAUCCCCUUCUGGUAAUUCCAGGUCGAACGCUGGGGCUCGCACGGCACGGUGGUUC